GCUGCUGCUGCUGGCGGUCUGCAUCGCUGGACUCUUCAUCUGGAGGAGGAACAAUAACGGGUUUCGCCCUGCUAACACGGGGCAGUGAGCAUAGAAGAGGAUGCUGAACUCCACAACUUUCUGUCAUUUAAUAAAUCUCUCUAAUGAAAGCUGCUCAUCUGAUUGGCUGCUAUAUAUAUAUAAGGUAAUGAAUUGGUAUUGUGAUUAAGUUACAUUAUAAGUAACAAAUUGGUAUUGUGAUUAAGAUACAUUAUAAGUAAUGAAUUGGUAUUGUGAUUAAGU
This is a long non-coding RNA of Sebastes umbrosus (honeycomb rockfish), 282 nucleotides long. RefSeq lists it as uncharacterized. The record is from RefSeq and is a predicted model, not a curated record. Lineage: Eukaryota; Metazoa; Chordata; Actinopteri; Perciformes; Sebastidae. The transcript is spliced from 3 exons.